This 83-nucleotide transfer RNA is filed under the name Alosa alosa (allis shad). Its description in RNAcentral is "tRNA-Ser". The record is from RNAcentral. Lineage: Eukaryota; Metazoa; Chordata; Actinopteri; Clupeiformes; Clupeidae.
AGCAGGAUGGUGGAGUGGUUAAGGUGUUGGACUUCAGAUCCCAUGGACAGUUGUCCUCCUGGGUUCGAGCUUCACUCCUGAUA